UAGUUUAAAAAAAAAAAAAAAGCUUCGAAGGCAUGCAAUUGAUGUUCAACUAGCCAUUGGAAUGAUUCCAUGUCUUGCAUUGUGUGCACGGAAUGGAAACAGUUCAGUGACUCUCAAAAACAAGGAAAUGAAACAGCAGUGAUAUGGUUAAAACAAGUUAGACAAAUGGCUUUUAGAGAGGAUGAAAAAAUGUCAGGCAAAGGCCUUAACUGUGCUGCAUUGCACAGAACAUGUUUCUGAGCACUUGUUUUAUAUUAAUUGCAGUCCUUCAAUGCAAUUGGAUUGUUGGCGCUAUUAUAAUGCUGGGGCCAGUCAUGGCUGAGUUGAAUCCCUGAGUUCUGUUUUUUUCCCUCUUUGUUUGGUAUCACCCUUUCUUUCAAAUAGCAGAGGAUUUAAAUUUCAGUAACCGCAGGUGAGUACUUGGAGCUGACAUGGAUAAUACCUAAAAAUGAACCAUGCUAUAAGUAAAAAUUUCAUUUUAUCUCAGUUUAUCUCAUAUAAUGGAAAUAUGUUCCUUCUAAUGCUCUAGUAUCAUAUUAAAUACAGUAUAUGUUUUUUGGCAAGCUCUAACAUAAAUAGGCUACCUUCAGUUAAGUAUGGAUUUAAAAUAACUUAAAAUGGAUUUGAAGUAACAUUUCUCAACAUUAAUGAUAUAUUUAAUUUUUACAUGUCCUUAAAUUACUUUAGCACUAGUCACAUACCAUAGUGUCAUGCUUGUAGAAUGCUUAAUUAAACAAGCAACUAAU
This 746-nucleotide long non-coding RNA is filed under the name Bos taurus (domestic cattle). RNAcentral describes it as "long non-coding RNA NONBTAT023676". Lineage: Eukaryota; Metazoa; Chordata; Mammalia; Artiodactyla; Bovidae. The record is from RNAcentral.